Molecule: ribosomal RNA, 292 nt
Filed under: uncultured bacterium
Lineage: Bacteria
Description: partial 16S ribosomal RNA
Rfam family: Bacterial small subunit ribosomal RNA
Source: RNAcentral
GUGUCAGCAGCCGCGGUAAGACGAACCUUGCUAACGUUAUUCGGAAUUACUGGGCUUAAAGGGUGCGUAGGCGGUGCGGAAAGUUGGGUGUGAAAGCCCUCGGCUCAACCGAGGAAUUGCGCCCAAAACUGCCGCACUAGAGGAAGACAGAGGUACGCGGAACUUAGGGUGGAGCGGUGAAAUGCGUUGAUAUCCUAAGGAACACCGGUGGCGAAAGCGGCGUACUGGGUCUUAUCUGACGCUGAGGCACGAAAGCUAGGGGAGCGAACGGGAUUAGAAACCCCUGUAGUCC